UCUGAGAGAGCUGGACCUGAGUUACAACAACAACCUGAAGGAUCCAGAUGUGAAGCUGCUGUCUGAUCUUGUGGAGAGUCCACACUGUAGACUGGAGACUCUGAGCUGGAAGUGAUCUCAGUCAGACAGUGAGCGGUGAGGAAGGAGGUUGUGUUGGAGGAUCCGCUGUGUCCUGAUGAUCCAGAGAGGUUGAAGCAGCAGCAUCAGCUCUGACUGGGCCAUGUUACUGGGAGGUAGAGUGGAGAGGAGAGCUUCAUCCAGCAGUGACUGACAGAGGAAUCACAACCAGUGGAGACGACUCUCAGUGCUGCAGUCUGAACUGCUCUGAGAUCAGCUCCCUGUGUGUUCCUCUGGAUCAUGUGACAGAGUAUCAUCAGUGUAUCUGGAGCUGCUGCUGCUGCUGCUCUGUCCGUCUACAGUCUCUGCAGACACACUGAGACUGCUCCACCUGGACCUGGACCUGGACCUGGAGUUCAUUCAGAUCUACAGAACCCAAAGUGACUCUGAAGAUUAGUUGUGUUUAUGACAACAUAACAGUAAAUGUAUUUUAUUCUCAGUGAAAUCAUAUUAUCAUUACAGUUCUGUAUAAUCACAGAGGAACAGAACAAUAAGUAAAACACAGAUCAAUUAAAGAAUAUAUUCUUCAAAAAA
Molecule: long non-coding RNA, 651 nt
Organism: Dicentrarchus labrax (European seabass)
Lineage: Eukaryota; Metazoa; Chordata; Actinopteri; Moronidae
Exons: 2
Source: RefSeq, a predicted model, not a curated record